CGCGGGGUAGAGCAGUGGUAGCUCGUCGGGCUCAUAACCCGGAGGUCGCAGGUUCGAACCCUGCCCCCGCAA
This 72-nucleotide transfer RNA is filed under the name Candidatus Pullibacteroides excrementavium. RNAcentral's name for it is "tRNA-Met". It matches the Rfam family "tRNA". From Rfam's summary of the family: Transfer RNA (tRNA) molecules are approximately 80 nucleotides in length. Their secondary structure includes four short double-helical elements and three loops (D, anti-codon, and T loops). Further hydrogen bonds mediate the characteristic L-shaped molecular structure. tRNAs have two regions of fundamental functional importance: the anti-codon, which is responsible for specific mRNA codon recognition, and the 3' end, to which the tRNAs corresponding amino acid is attached (by aminoacyl-tRNA synthetases). tRNAs cope with the degeneracy of the genetic code in two manners: having more than one tRNA (with a specific anti-codon) for a particular amino acid; and 'wobble' base-pairing, i.e. permitting non-standard base-pairing at the 3rd anti-codon position. The record is from RNAcentral. Lineage: Bacteria; Pseudomonadati; Bacteroidota; Bacteroidia; Bacteroidales.